This 649-nucleotide ribosomal RNA is filed under the name Citrus sinensis x Citrus trifoliata. Its description in RNAcentral is "eukaryotic LSU rRNA". The stretch from base 261 to 415 matches the Rfam family "5.8S ribosomal RNA". Lineage: Eukaryota; Viridiplantae; Streptophyta; Magnoliopsida; Sapindales; Rutaceae. The record is from RNAcentral.
UCCGUAGGGUGAACCUGCGGAAGGAUCAUUACCGAGUUAGGGUCUCCUUCGUGAGGCCCGACCUCCCAACCCUGUGUCUAACAAACCUGUAUGUGUUGCUUCGGCGGAACGGCAGUCGACCCUUUCGGGGGGCGACCGUCGCCGGGGGCGUCCCGCCCUUGGAGAGCGUCCGCCGAUGGCCCAACCAAAACAAACUCCCAAACCAAAUAAUAGUACCUAAAACUUCUGAAUCAGACUUUUGAUAUACCAAUCAAAAACAAAACUUUCAACAACGGAUCUCUUGGUUCUGGCAUCGAUGAAGAACGCAGCGAAAUGCGAUAAGUAAUGCGAAUUGCAGAAUUUCCGUGAGUCAUCGAAUCUUUGAACGCACAUUGCGCCCUUUGGCAUUCCGAAGGGCAUGCCUGUUCGAGCGUCAUUAUCCUCUCUCAAACCUCGUGUUUGGUGUUGGACCGCGUUGGACCGCCUCCAUGGCCCAACUGGUCUCAAAGACAAUGACGGCGUCCCAGGGACCCUCUUCGCACUGAGUUCUCCGGAGCACGCGUAGAGUUUCAAGGGCCCAGGGACCCGGUCACCUUUAUUAUUUUUUCUAGGUUGACCUCGGAUCAGGUAGGAAUACCCGCUGAACUUAAGCAUAUCAAUAAGCGGAGGA